AUGAAGCUCAGUGGUAGAGUGCUUGCCUAGCAUACAAAGGCCCUGGGUUCCAUCCCCAGCAU
Molecule: transfer RNA, 62 nt
Filed under: Cricetulus griseus (Chinese hamster)
Lineage: Eukaryota; Metazoa; Chordata; Mammalia; Rodentia; Cricetidae
Source: Rfam by way of RNAcentral